Molecule: ribosomal RNA, 1391 nt
Filed under: uncultured bacterium
Lineage: Bacteria
Description: bacterial SSU rRNA
Rfam family: Bacterial small subunit ribosomal RNA
Source: RNAcentral
UUUGAUCCAUGGCUCAGGACGAAACGCUGGCGGCGUGCUUAACACACGCAAGUUCGAACGAAGAAGCCUAGCUUCGCUAGGUGGAAUAUCGGCGAACGGGCGAGUAAUACGUCGAGUCGACCUACCUUUUGACUCUGGGAUAAACCUGGGAAAACUGGGUCUAAUACCGGAUACGACCAAUCUCCGCAUGGGGUCGUUGGUGGAAAGCGUUAUGGAGUGGUUUUUAGAUGGGCUCACGGCCUAUCAGCUUGUUGGUGAGGUAAUGGCUUACCAAGGCGACGACGGGUAGCCGGCCUGAGAGGGUGACCGGCCACACUGGGACUGAGACACGGCCCAGACUCCUACGGGAGGCAGCAGUGGGGAAUAUUGCACAAUGGGCGCAAGCCUGAUGCAGCGACGCCGCGUGAGGGAUGACGGCCUUCGGGUUUGUAAACCUCUGUUAGCAUCGAAGAAGCGAAAGUGACGGUAGGUGCAGAAAAAGCGCCGGCUAACUACGUUCCAGCAGCCGCGGUAAUACGUAGGGCGCGAGCGUUGUCCGGAAUUAUUGGGCGUAAAGAGCUUGUAGGCGGUUGGUCGCGUCUGCUGUGAAAGGCUGGGGCUUAACCCUGGUUUUGCAGUGGGUACGGGCUAACUAGAGUGCAGUAGGGGAGACUGGAAUUCCUGGUGUAGCGGUGGAGUGCGCAGAUAUCAGGAGGAACACCGAUGGCGAAGGCAGGUCUCUGGGCUGUAACUGACGCUGAGAAGCGAAAGCAUGGGGAGCGAACAGGAUUAGAUACCCUGGUAGUCCAUGCCGUAAACGUUGGGCACUAGGUGUGGGGGACAUUCCACGUUUUCCGCGCCGUAGCUAACGCAUUAAGUGCCCCGCCUGGGGAGUACGGCCGCAAGGCUAAAACUCAAAGAAAUUGACGGGGGCCCGCACAAGCGGCGGAGCAUGCGGAUUAAUUCGAUGCAACGCGAAGAACCUUACCAAGGCUUGACAUAUACUGGACUGCGUCAGAGAUGGCGUUUCCCUUCGGGGCUGGUAUACAGGUGGUGCAUGGUUGUCGUCAGCUCGUGUCGUGAGAUGUUGGGUUAAGUCCCGCAACGAGCGCAACCCUCGUUCUAUGUUGCCAGCACGUGAUGGUGGGGACUCAUAGGAGACUGCCGGGGUCAACUCGGAGGAAGGUGGGGAUGACGUCAAAUCAUCAUGCCCCUUAUGUCUUGGGCUUCACGCAUGCUACAAUGGCCGGUACAGAGGGUUGCGAUACUGUGAGGUGGAGCUAAUCCCUAAAAGCCGGUCUCAGUUCGGAUUGGGGUCUGCAACUCGACCCCAUGAAGUCGGAGUCGCUAGUAAUCGCAGAUCAGCAACGCUGCGGUGAAUACGUUCCCGGGCCUUGUACACACCGCCCGUC